CAGUCGCCGCGGGAAUACGUAGGGCGCAAGCGUUAUCCGGAAUUAUUGGGCGUAAAGAGCUCGUAGGCGGUUUGUCGCGUCUGCCGUGAAAGUCCGGGGCUCAACCCCGGAUCUGCGGUGGGUACGGGCAGACUAGAGUGAUGUAGGGGAGACUGGAAUUCCUGGUGUAGCGGUGAAAUGCGCAGAUAUCAGGAGGAACACCGAUGGCGAAGGCAGGUCUCUGGGCAUUAACUGACGCUGAGGAGCGAAAGCAUGGGGAGCGAACAGGAUUAGAUACCCCUGUAGUCCCUGUCUCUUAUAU
This 301-nucleotide ribosomal RNA is filed under the name uncultured bacterium. Its description in RNAcentral is "partial 16S ribosomal RNA". It matches the Rfam family "Bacterial small subunit ribosomal RNA", at positions 509 to 809 of the family's 1533-position model. The record is from RNAcentral.